GAACUGCCGUUAACGGAGAACAGUAAUAGGGACUCUCAUUGUACAGAGAGGGAAUGCCACAGGCUGGAAGCUUUCCCGUAAUGACCUCUAUGAACGAACACUUCUCAGGCUCUUUUCUGAACCGUUCAGCAGUAGGAAGAGACGUACCCAGGCGUUAACUGGAAGAGCGGGGGACGACGCAGUUUCCCCAAUUAGGGUGGUACCACGGGAAGUCAUACUCUCGUCCCUGUU
RNAcentral lists this non-coding RNA (231 nucleotides) under Salisediminibacterium selenitireducens. RNAcentral describes it as "Bacillus selenitireducens T-box sequence". It matches the Rfam family "T-box leader". Rfam says of the family: Uncharged tRNA acts as the effector for transcription antitermination of genes in the T-box leader family. T-boxes are found upstream of many aminoacyl-tRNA synthetase genes and some amino acid biosynthetic genes usually in Gram-positive bacteria. The anticodon of a specific tRNA base pairs to a specifier sequence within the T-box motif, and the NCCA acceptor tail of the tRNA base pairs to a conserved bulge in the T-box antiterminator hairpin. Lineage: Bacteria; Bacillati; Bacillota; Bacilli; Caryophanales; Bacillaceae. The record is from RNAcentral.